GGGUUGCUAGCUCAGUUGGUAGAGCAGCUGAUUCUUAAUCAGCGGGUCACAGGUUCGAUCCCUGUGCAGCCCA
This 73-nucleotide transfer RNA is filed under the name Bdellovibrio sp. Its description in RNAcentral is "tRNA-Lys". It matches the Rfam family "tRNA". Rfam says of the family: Transfer RNA (tRNA) molecules are approximately 80 nucleotides in length. Their secondary structure includes four short double-helical elements and three loops (D, anti-codon, and T loops). Further hydrogen bonds mediate the characteristic L-shaped molecular structure. tRNAs have two regions of fundamental functional importance: the anti-codon, which is responsible for specific mRNA codon recognition, and the 3' end, to which the tRNAs corresponding amino acid is attached (by aminoacyl-tRNA synthetases). tRNAs cope with the degeneracy of the genetic code in two manners: having more than one tRNA (with a specific anti-codon) for a particular amino acid; and 'wobble' base-pairing, i.e. permitting non-standard base-pairing at the 3rd anti-codon position. RNAcentral also lists the same sequence under 1 other name. Lineage: Bacteria; Pseudomonadati; Bdellovibrionota; Bdellovibrionia; Bdellovibrionales; Pseudobdellovibrionaceae. The record is from RNAcentral.